CCGGAACCGGCGAAGAACCGCCCAUGACGAACCUAGUGAUGCUAAACGCCCAAAGCUGUUGUCCAAGACCUUCGGGUUGAGGGUUUCAGUGGAGCGCGUGACCCGAUCUAGUAGUAGUCAAGCGAUGGAGAGACGCAGGAAGGUAGCCUCCGCGUGGCGAUGGUAGUCCACGUCCAAGGGUGUAGGGCGAGCUGUAGGCAAAUCCGCAGCUCACAUAGCCUGAGACCUGAUAGUGACCGCGUAUGCGGGAAGCAGGGUGAUCCUAUGCUGCCAAGAAAAUCUUCUAGCGAGGUUCGAGCCGCCCGUACCCCAAACCGACUCAGGUGGUUAGGUAGAGAAUACCAAGGCGAUCGAGUGAAUCGUGGUUAAGGAAUUCGGCAAAAUACCCCCGUAACUUCGGGAGAAGGGGGGCCCAGAGGGUGAAGGCACUUGCUGCCUAGCCUGAACGGCCGCAGAGACCAGGGAGAAGCGACUGUUUACUAAAAACACAGGUCCGUGCGAAGUCGCAAGACGAUGUAUACGGACUGACGCCUGCCCGGUGCUGGAAGGUUAAGAGGACCGGUUAGUUCUUCGGAGCGAAGCUGAGAAUUUAAGCCCCAGUAAACGGCGGUGGUAACUAUAACCAUCCUAAGGUAGCGAAAUUCCUUGUCGGGUAAGUUCCGACCUGCACGAAUGGCGUAACGACUUCUCCACUGUCUCAACCACGAACUCGGCGAAAUUGCACUACGAGUAAAGAUGCUCGUUACGCGCAGCAGGACGGAAAGACCCCGGGACCUUUACUACAGCUUGGUA
RNAcentral lists this ribosomal RNA (792 nucleotides) under Salmonella enterica subsp. enterica serovar Heidelberg. RNAcentral's name for it is "partial 23S ribosomal RNA". It matches the Rfam family "Bacterial large subunit ribosomal RNA", at positions 1409 to 2116 of the family's 2925-position model. The record is from RNAcentral. Lineage: Bacteria; Pseudomonadati; Pseudomonadota; Gammaproteobacteria; Enterobacterales; Enterobacteriaceae.